GAGGAAAAGAAACCAACAGGGAUUGCCCUAGUAACGGCGAGUGAAGCGGCAACAGCUCAAAUUUGAAAUCUGGCGUCUUCGGCGUCCGAGUUGUAAUUUGCAGAGGGCGCUUUGGCAUUGGCAGCGGUCCAAGUUCCUUGGAACAGGACGUCACAGAGGGUGAGAAUCCCGUACGUGGUCGCUAGCCUUUACCGUGUAAAGCCCCUUCGACGAGUCGAGUUGUUUGGGAAUGCAGCUCUAAAUGGGAGGUAAAUUUCUUCUAAAGCUAAAUACUGGCCAGAGACCGAUAGCGCACAAGUAGAGUGAUCGAAAGAUGAAAAGCACUUUGGAAAGAGAGUUAAAAAGCACGUGAAAUUGUUGAAAGGGAAGCGCUUGCAGCCAGACUUGCCUGUAGUUGCUCAUCCGGGUUUCUACCCGGUGCACUCUUCUAUAGGCAGGCCAGCAUCAGUUUGGGCGGUUGGAUAAAGGUCUCUGUCAUGUACCUCCUCUCGGGGAGAACUUAUAGGGGAGACGACAUGCAACCAGCCUGGACUGAGGUCCGCGCAUCUGCUAGGAUGCUGGCGUAAUGGCUGUAAGCGGCCCGUCUUGAAACACGGACCAAGGAGUCUAACAUCUAUGCGAGUGUUUGGGUGUCAAGCCCGAGCGCGUAAUGAAAGUGAACGGAGGUGGGAACCUUUCGGGGUGCACCAUCGACCGAUCCUGAUGUCUUCGGAUGGAUUUGAGUAAGAGCAUAGCUGUUGGGACCCGAAAGAUGGUGAACUAUGCUUGAAUAGGGUGAAGCCAGAGGAAACUCUGGUGGAGGCUCGCAGCGGUUCUGACGUGCAAAUCGAUCGUCAAAUUUGGGCAUAGGGGCGAAAGACUAAUCGAACUAUCUAGUAGCUGG
This 883-nucleotide ribosomal RNA is filed under the name Epicoccum sp. RNAcentral describes it as "partial large subunit ribosomal RNA". It matches the Rfam family "Eukaryotic large subunit ribosomal RNA", at positions 53 to 954 of the family's 3401-position model. The record is from RNAcentral. Lineage: Eukaryota; Fungi; Ascomycota; Dothideomycetes; Pleosporales; Didymellaceae.